AUUGAACGCUGGCGGCAGGCCUAACACAUGCCAGUCGAACGGUAACAGGAAGAAGCUUGCUUCUUUGCUGACGAAUGGCGGACGGGUGAGUAAUGUCUGGGAAACUGCCUGAUGGAGGGGGAUAACUACUGGAAACGGUAGCUAAUACCGCAUAACGUCGCAAGACCAAAAAGGGGGACCUUCGGGCCUCUUGCCAUCGGAUGUGCCCAGAUGGGAUUAGCUAGUAGGUGGGGUAACGGCUCACCUAGGCGACGAUCCCUAGCUGGUCUGAGAGGAUGACCAGCCACACUGGAACUGAGACACGGUCCAGACUCCUACGGGAGGCAGCAGUGGGGAAUAUUGCACAAUGGGCGCAAGCCUGAUGCAGCCAUGCCGCGUGUAUGAAGAAGGCCUUCGGGUUGUAAAGUACUUUCAGCGGGGAGGAAGGGAGUAAAGUUAAUACCUUUGCUCAUUGACGUUACCCGCAGAAGAAGCACCGGCUAACUCCGUG
RNAcentral lists this ribosomal RNA (490 nucleotides) under uncultured bacterium. RNAcentral's name for it is "partial 16S ribosomal RNA". It matches the Rfam family "Bacterial small subunit ribosomal RNA", at positions 30 to 507 of the family's 1533-position model. The record is from RNAcentral.